RNAcentral lists this long non-coding RNA (403 nucleotides) under Oryza brachyantha (malo sina). Its description in RNAcentral is "long non-coding RNA (OBRA_LNC003098)". Lineage: Eukaryota; Viridiplantae; Streptophyta; Magnoliopsida; Poales; Poaceae. The record is from RNAcentral.
UGCAUUGCAGCUAUAUAUUCUACAUGGUGAUGGUGUAGAUCAGGGUGUCAUCUGGUGAGAUGAUGAGGACAUCUCUCUCGUACUAUACUCAUUUUACAGGUAGACCUCUCAAAAGAGGAUGGGGAGUUACUGUUUUUGUUUAAGGAAAAAAAGAGUUGACUCAUAAGAGGUACCAGGCUCGAUAGCCUUAUAAACACAUGGUUAAUUUUAACAAAAACGGUAAAUAAAAAGUUGACAAGACAAAAGAAGUACUUUUGUCAAACAACUAUUGAGUGCCAACAUCGGCCAGUGUUGGCUUAUCGAAUUCCUCCAAAGGGACCUCAAUAUGAAGACCGUAGGCAUGGUCCUUGUGGGUCGAGCCUCUAAGUCUAAGGAGUGGAAAGCAAUUUGAAUUUCCAUCCAA